RNAcentral lists this ribosomal RNA (1447 nucleotides) under bacterium 4D702. RNAcentral describes it as "16S ribosomal RNA". It matches the Rfam family "Bacterial small subunit ribosomal RNA". The record is from RNAcentral.
AUGCAAGUCGAGCGGAAACGAGUUAUCUGAACCUUCGGGGAACGAUAACGGCGUCGAGCGGCGGACGGGUGAGUAAUGCCUAGGAAAUUGCCCUGAUGUGGGGGAUAACCAUUGGAAACGAUGGCUAAUACCGCAUAAUGCCUACGGGCCAAAGAGGGGGACCUUCGGGCCUCUCGCGUCAGGAUAUGCCUAGGUGGGAUUAGCUAGUUGGUGAGGUAAUGGCUCACCAAGGCGACGAUCCCUAGCUGGUCUGAGAGGAUGAUCAGCCACACUGGAACUGAGACACGGUCCAGACUCCUACGGGAGGCAGCAGUGGGGAAUAUUGCACAAUGGGCGCAAGCCUGAUGCAGCCAUGCCGCGUGUGUGAAGAAGGCCUUCGGGUUGUAAAGCACUUUCAGUCGUGAGGAAGGUGGUGUAGUUAAUAGCUGCAUUAUUUGACGUUAGCGACAGAAGAAGCACCGGCUAACUCCGUGCCAGCAGCCGCGGUAAUACGGAGGGUGCGAGCGUUAAUCGGAAUUACUGGGCGUAAAGCGCAUGCAGGUGGUUUGUUAAGUCAGAUGUGAAAGCCCGGGGCUCAACCUCGGAAUAGCAUUUGAAACUGGCAGACUAGAGUACUGUAGAGGGGGGUAGAAUUUCAGGUGUAGCGGUGAAAUGCGUAGAGAUCUGAAGGAAUACCGGUGGCGAAGGCGGCCCCCUGGACAGAUACUGACACUCAGAUGCGAAAGCGUGGGGAGCAAACAGGAUUAGAUACCCUGGUAGUCCACGCCGUAAACGAUGUCUACUUGGAGGUUGUGGCCUUGAGCCGUGGCUUUCGGAGCUAACGCGUUAAGUAGACCGCCUGGGGAGUACGGUCGCAAGAUUAAAACUCAAAUGAAUUGACGGGGGCCCGCACAAGCGGUGGAGCAUGUGGUUUAAUUCGAUGCAACGCGAAGAACCUUACCUACUCUUGACAUCCAGAGAACUUUCCAGAGAUGGAUUGGUGCCUUCGGGAACUCUGAGACAGGUGCUGCAUGGCUGUCGUCAGCUCGUGUUGUGAAAUGUUGGGUUAAGUCCCGCAACGAGCGCAACCCUUAUCCUUGUUUGCCAGCGAGUAAUGUCGGGAACUCCAGGGAGACUGCCGGUGAUAAACCGGAGGAAGGUGGGGACGACGUCAAGUCAUCAUGGCCCUUACGAGUAGGGCUACACACGUGCUACAAUGGCGCAUACAGAGGGCAGCAAGCUAGCGAUAGUGAGCGAAUCCCAAAAAGUGCGUCGUAGUCCGGAUUGGAGUCUGCAACUCGACUCCAUGAAGUCGGAAUCGCUAGUAAUCGUGGAUCAGAAUGCCACGGUGAAUACGUUCCCGGGCCUUGUACACACCGCCCGUCACACCAUGGGAGUGGGCUGCAAAAGAAGUAGGUAGUUUAACCUUCGGGAGGACGCUUACCACUUUGUGGUUCAUGACUGGGGU